AAUGAAUUGCCUGAUUAAAGGAUUACCUUGAUAGGGUAAAUAAUGUAAAAUAUACAUUCAUUA
This 63-nucleotide transfer RNA is filed under the name Lipoptena sp. RNAcentral's name for it is "tRNA-Ile". The record is from RNAcentral. Lineage: Eukaryota; Metazoa; Arthropoda; Insecta; Diptera; Hippoboscidae.